This is a non-coding RNA of Caenorhabditis elegans, 221 nucleotides long. NCBI's taxonomy places the organism in Eukaryota, Metazoa, Nematoda, Chromadorea, Rhabditida, Rhabditidae. The record is from Ensembl.
CUCACUGCCAUCGUCGUCGCUUGCGUAAUCCUUCGUUUGUUACUGUCGCGAUAUGUAUCGUCGCCGUCCCACCCAUCAUCCUCCUCCCUCCUCUUCCCUUCGCUUUCAUUUUUUUCCUGUGUGUCCCAUUCACUUUCCGCCAAUCCUCACUUCACUUUCUCUGCCCAUCGGAUGAGAUGGAUGUUGAGGUUUUCCUGGUGACGUGAGGCAAACGCCUUCCU